Long non-coding RNA from Perca flavescens (yellow perch), 471 nucleotides. RefSeq lists it as uncharacterized. The record is from RefSeq and is a predicted model, not a curated record. The transcript has 2 exons. NCBI's taxonomy places the organism in Eukaryota, Metazoa, Chordata, Actinopteri, Perciformes, Percidae.
GACUGCCCAGGAACAUCAGGAAGUGCAUUGGAAACUACAUGUUAUAGGUAUGAUGCUUUCCUCUCUAAAUUUGGAGAUUGAUUGAUUCAUUUGGAGACAAGAACAAUGUAAAUGUUUCUUAAUUUUUCAGAAAAUACACAGAACUGUAUGCACCCAUUAUAGUAGAGGAUUCAGAGACCUCCGGAGACAGUGAUGCUGUCACUCAUGAUAUUUCAGAGGAUCCAGAGAUAGAACAGAGACCCAUUUCAGAAGUGAUUGCAAACCUGGCACUCCAGAUUGAUCGCCACGCAGUCAGCAGAUUUCACAUUUGCCGCUCUGACAUCUGGGAUGGUGCCGUCAGAGGAUUCAAAAGAGGAACAUUCUCUGAAAAGAAGGACCUCCUAGUAAAGUUUUCUGAUGAUGCAGGCAUGUUUGAGGAAGGUAUUGAUACAGGUGGCCCAAAAAGAGAAUUCCUCUCACUCCUGAUGAAAA